This 529-nucleotide ribosomal RNA is filed under the name uncultured bacterium. Its description in RNAcentral is "partial 16S ribosomal RNA". It matches the Rfam family "Bacterial small subunit ribosomal RNA", at positions 355 to 871 of the family's 1533-position model. The record is from RNAcentral.
UGGGGAAUAUUGCACAAUGGGCGCAAGCCUGAUGCAGCCAUGCCGCGUGUGUGAAGAAGGCCUUCGGGUUGUAAAGCACUUUCAGCGAGGAGGAAGGUGGUGAACUUAAUACGUUCAUCAAUUGACGUUACUCGCAGAAGAAGCACCGGCUAACUCCGUGCCAGCAGCCGCGGUAAUACGGAGGGUGCAAGCGUUAAUCGGAAUUACUGGGCGUAAAGCGCACGCAGGCGGUUUGUUAAGUCAGAUGUGAAAUCCCCGGGCUCAACCUGGGAACUGCAUUUGAAACUGGCAAGCUAGAGUCUCGUAGAGGGGGGUAGAAUUCCAGGUGUAGCGGUGAAAUGCGUAGAGAUCUGGAGGAAUACCGGUGGCGAAGGCGGCCCCCCUGGACGAAGACUGACGCUCAGGUGCGAAAGCGUGGGGCAGCAAACAGGAUUAGAUACCCUGGUAGUCCAGCGCUGUAAAACGAUGUCGAUUUGGAGGUUGUGCCCUUGAGGCGUGGCUUCCGGAGCUAACGCGUUAAAGUCGACCG